Molecule: long non-coding RNA, 942 nt
Organism: Olea europaea var. sylvestris
Lineage: Eukaryota; Viridiplantae; Streptophyta; Magnoliopsida; Lamiales; Oleaceae
Exons: 2
Source: RefSeq, a predicted model, not a curated record
UUGUUUGCUGCCCAACGGUCACUAAACGUACAUAUGAGCCGCUCCAUCCAUCACCCGGUGUUCCAGUCGUUUGAACCAAUCCGACGUGGCUGGACAGCAGUUUACAUGGCAAUGGACGGCGUGAAACUCAGCCAUGGUGGACGCGACUUCCAUUUAAACAUACGAUUCCUCACGUUUAACAAUUGAAAUCCCCUAACCCAUUUCUCUCAAGCCCUAGAUCUAUUUCCCCCAAUUAGCUCUUCCAAACUUGGCGAUUCCAGAUUGCUUCGCCUUCCUAGCAACAUCGGAUGCAGCUUGUCUUCAUCGUCGUCUUAGUAGCACCGUCGUUCUGUCGACACAAGACCCGCAUCCCGGUUGACAGUUUUCAAAACGCGGCAAAAGGAAAGAGGGACAAAUAGGGGCAUAUGUCACAGUUAUAGGAAGCCUGGGCACUUCUUGUAUGAUUGCCCGACAAAGACUGGGUAAAAUUUGAUGUGUUGGGAGAGAACUGCACGCAUGGACUCUUAAAGAUGGACCAGCCGCCACUUCAUAUAAUAUUCCUACGGACGAGGUUAACUUCGAAGUGUUGGUGGAGAAGCUGCAACACAUAGACAAUGCCGAAUAUUCAAGGUUGAGAUCGAAAAGGGAACGAAGAAAACGACUUGUUAACACUUUUACAACAACGUCCCUAUAGUCUUCAGGCAAUACCAAACGGGCCGAUUAAUAUUAAUACCAAAUGGAAAGGCUAUGCCGAACCAAGCUAUGCUGGCGAAAAUGGAGAGAGUCUUGGGUGUGAAGCUGAGACGAAAAUUUGUACAUCAAUGAUGAUUAUAAUUGAAUAUUGAAAUUACUAGUCUCCGUGUUGAUUUAGAAUAAGAGAGGGAAAAAGCACAGAAAAAUGUGAUGUUGGAUAGUCUGGAAGUGGAAUUAACUGGUUAUGUUAUAUAAUUUGAAUUGUUUAUA